RNAcentral lists this ribosomal RNA (500 nucleotides) under uncultured bacterium. RNAcentral describes it as "partial 16S ribosomal RNA". It matches the Rfam family "Bacterial small subunit ribosomal RNA", at positions 30 to 523 of the family's 1533-position model. The record is from RNAcentral.
AUUGAACGCUGGCGGCAUGCCUUACACAUGCAAGUCGAACGGCAGCACGGGAGCAAUCCUGGUGGCGAGUGGCGAACGGGUGAGUAAGGUAUCGGAACGUGCUCAGUCGUGGGGGAUAACGUAGCGAAAGUUACGCUAAUACCGCAUACGAUCUAUGGAUGAAAGCGGGGGAUCGCAAGACCUCGCGCGAUUGGAGCGGCCGAUAUCAGAUUAGGUAGUUGGUGGGGUAAAGGCUCACCAAGCCGACGAUCUGUAGCUGGUCUGAGAGGACGACCAGCCACACUGGGACUGAGACACGGCCCAGACUCCGACGGGAGGCAGCAGUGGGGAAUUUUGGACAAUGGGCGAAAGCUUGAUCCAGCCAUGCCGCGUGCAGGAUGAAGGCCUUCGGGUUGUAAACUGCUUUUGUACGGAACGAAAAGGUUUGGCCUAAUAAGCUGAGCUCAUGACGGUACCGUAAGAAUAAGCACCGGCUAACUACGUGCCAGCCGCCGCCGUAA